UCUAAUAUGGCAGAAUAGUGCAAUGGUCUUAAACUCCGUAUAUAAAGAUUACAUCUUUUUUUAGAA
RNAcentral lists this transfer RNA (66 nucleotides) under Oryctes nasicornis. Its description in RNAcentral is "tRNA-Leu". It matches the Rfam family "tRNA". Rfam says of the family: Transfer RNA (tRNA) molecules are approximately 80 nucleotides in length. Lineage: Eukaryota; Metazoa; Arthropoda; Insecta; Coleoptera; Scarabaeidae. The record is from RNAcentral.